GAGGGAUUUUAGUCGGUAGGUCCGAGGACUUAUUCUUCCUCGGGAAUCCGACACUACCCAGUCGUACGGACGGCUAGGUGUCUUUUGAAGAUUUCCCCUC
Agrilus planipennis (emerald ash borer) is the source of this 100-nucleotide non-coding RNA. Lineage: Eukaryota; Metazoa; Arthropoda; Insecta; Coleoptera; Buprestidae. The record is from Rfam.